Molecule: ribosomal RNA, 119 nt
Filed under: Pteropus vampyrus (large flying fox)
Lineage: Eukaryota; Metazoa; Chordata; Mammalia; Chiroptera; Pteropodidae
Source: RNAcentral
GUCUACAGCUAUGCCCUGCUGAACACGCCUGAUCCUGUCUGAUCUUGGAAGCUAAGCAGGGUCAGGCCCGGUUAGUACUUGGGUGGGAGACCACCUAGGAAGACUGGGUGUUGCAGGUG